Molecule: ribosomal RNA, 301 nt
Filed under: uncultured bacterium
Lineage: Bacteria
Description: partial 16S ribosomal RNA
Rfam family: Bacterial small subunit ribosomal RNA
Source: RNAcentral
CAGCAGCCACGGGAAUACGUAGGGUGCGAGCGUUAAUCGGAAUUACUGGGCGUAAAGCGUGCGCAGGCGGUUAUAUAAGACAGAUGUGAAAUCCCCGGGCUCAACCUGGGACCUGCGUUUGUGACUGUAUAGCUAGAGUACGGUAGAGGGGGAUGGAAUUCCGCGUGUAGCAGUGAAAUGCGUAGAUAUGCGGAGGAACACCGAUGGCGAAGGCAAUCCCCUGGACCUGUACUGACGCUCACGCACGAAAGCGUGGGGAGCAAACAGGAUUAGAGACCCCCGUAGUCCCUGUCUCUUAUAC